GAGACCCACGCCCACAGUUGCCAGCGUACUCUCUGGAGUGACGGGUACACUGUGGGGACCGCCGCUGCUAAAGCGGAGGAAGGAAUGGGCAACGGUAGGUCAGUAUGCCCCGAAUAUCCCGGGCUACACGCGAGCUACAAUGGUUGGUACAAUGGGUAUCUACCCCGAAAGGGGAUGGUAAUCUCCUAAAGCCAAUCUUAGUCCGGAUUGAGGGCUGCAACUCGCCCUCAUGAAGCUGGAAUCCGUAGUAAUCGCGUUUCAACAGAACGCGGUGAAUAC
This 279-nucleotide ribosomal RNA is filed under the name uncultured methanogenic archaeon. Its description in RNAcentral is "partial 16S rRNA". It matches the Rfam family "Archaeal small subunit ribosomal RNA", at positions 1047 to 1325 of the family's 1478-position model. The record is from RNAcentral. Lineage: Archaea; Methanobacteriati; Methanobacteriota.